GGCUCAGAAUGAACGCUGGCGGCGUGCUUAACACAUGCAAGUCGAACGAGAAAUCUUUAGCUUGCUAGAGAAAGUAAAGUGGCGCACGGGUGAGUAACGCGUGGGUAAUCUGCCUCCGAAUCGGGGAUAACAUUGCGAAAGCGAUGCUAAUACCGGAUAAAAUCUGGUUGGCUUCGGUGAACCGGAUCAAAGGUGGUCUCUUUAUAAAAGCUACCGUUUGGAGAUGAGCUCGCGUACCAUUAGCUAGUUGGUGAGGUAAAGGCUCACCAAGGCGACGAUGGUUAGCUGGUCUGAGAGGAUGAUCAGCCACACCGGAACUGGAACACGGUCCGGACUCCUACGGGAGGCAGCAGUGAGGAAUUUUGCGCAAUGGGGGAAACCCUGACGCAGCAACGCCGCGUGAGUGAUGAAGGCUUUCGGGUCGUAAAGCUCUGUCAGGUGGGAAGAACCCACCAAGUGUUAAGACCACUUGGUGCUGACGGUACCACCGAAGGAAGCACCGGCUAACUCCGUGCCAGCAGCCGCGGUAAUACGGGGGGUGCGAGCGUUAUUCGGAAUCAUUGGGCGUAAAGGGCGCGCAGGCGGUUUUGUAAGUCAGAUGUGAAAUCCCGGGGCUUAACCCCGGAAGUGCAUAUGAAACUAUGAGACUUGAGUAUGGGAGAGGGAAGCGGAAUUCCUGGUGUAGCGGUGAAAUGCGUAGAUAUCAGGAGGAACACCGGUGGCGAAGGCGGCUUCCUGGACCAAUACUGACGCUGAGGCGCGAAGGCGUGGGGAGCGAACAGGAUUAGAUACCCUGGUAGUCCACGCAGUAAACGUUGAUCACUAGGUGUAGCGGGUAUUGACCCCUGCUGUGCCGGAGUUAACGCAUUAAGUGAUCCGCCUGGGGAGUACGAUCGCAAGAUUAAAACUCAAAGGAAUUGACGGUGGGCCCGCACAAGCGGUGGAGCAUGUGGCUUAAUUCGACGCAACGCGAAGAACCUUACCUGGACUUGACAU
RNAcentral lists this ribosomal RNA (996 nucleotides) under uncultured organism. Its description in RNAcentral is "bacterial SSU rRNA". It matches the Rfam family "Bacterial small subunit ribosomal RNA", at positions 21 to 987 of the family's 1533-position model. The record is from RNAcentral.